RNAcentral lists this ribosomal RNA (264 nucleotides) under uncultured archaeon. RNAcentral describes it as "partial 16S ribosomal RNA". It matches the Rfam family "Archaeal small subunit ribosomal RNA", at positions 717 to 982 of the family's 1478-position model. The record is from RNAcentral.
AGACGUCUACAUUAGAUACCCGGGUAGUCCCAGCCGUAAACGAUGCGCGUUAGGUGUAUCGACGACCACGAGUCGUCGAGGUGCCGAAGGGAAACCGUGAAACGUGCCGCCUGGGAAGUACGGUCGCAAGGCUGAAACUUAAAGGAAUUGGCGGGGAGCACCACAACAGGUGGAGCCUGCGGUUUAAUUGGACUCAACGCCGGAAAUCUCACCGGAUAAGACAGCAGAAUGAUUGCCGGGCUGAAGACUCUGCAUGACUAGCUG